Long non-coding RNA from Candoia aspera, 351 nucleotides. RefSeq lists it as uncharacterized. The transcript has 2 exons. The record is from RefSeq and is a predicted model, not a curated record. NCBI's taxonomy places the organism in Eukaryota, Metazoa, Chordata, Lepidosauria, Squamata, Candoiidae.
AGAUCUGGACACCUGAAGUCUGUCAGCUUAAUGUCUGUCCAAGAUGAAUUGUUAGACUAAUUUACGAUCUUGUUAAUGCUGUUUAAUAAGACUCUCCAAAACCCUUUGACAAAGUCUUCAUCAAAGGCUGUCGUAAGCUUCAUGAUUGUGGGAUAAGAUGACCUGUCCUUUUAUGGACUGUUAACCCAUUAAAGGGACGCGCAUACAGUAGAAAUCAGUGUUGGGACAGGUGUCUUUUGACUUGUUUAUAAAUGGUCUUGACUUGGGAAGAAGCUAUUUGUGGUAGUGAGAUUCCAAAGUGAUUAUGAAGAACUUGAGAAGGAUCUCCUUAAACUGGUUAACUGCUGUGGU